GUAUCAUUGUAUUGGCUCGGGGUGAGGGUUCUAAACAGGAAGGUCUUUGUGUCAUUGUAUUGGCUUGGGGUGAGGGUUCUAAACAGGAAGGUCUUUGUAUCAUUGUAUUGGCUCGGGGUGAGUGUUCUAAACAGGAAGGUCUUAGUAUCAUUGUAUUGGCUCGGGGUGAGGGUUCUAAGCAGGAAGGUCUUUGUAUCAUUGUAUUGGCUCGGGGUGAGGGUUCUAAACAGGAAGGUCUUUGUGUCAUUGUAUUGGCUUGGGGUGAGUGUUCUAAACAGGAAGGUCUUUGUAUCAUUGUAUUGGCUCGGGGUGAGUGUUCUAAACAGGAAGGUCUUAGUAUCAUUGUAUUGGCUCGGGGUGAGGGUUCUAAGCAGGAAGGUCUUUGUAUCAUUGUAUUGGCUCGGGGUGAGGGUUCUAAACAGGAAGGUCUUAGUGUCAUUGUAUUGGCUCGGGGUGAGUGUUCU
RNAcentral lists this long non-coding RNA (464 nucleotides) under Salmo salar (Atlantic salmon). Its description in RNAcentral is "lncRNA (ENSSSAG00000098145.1)". The record is from RNAcentral. Lineage: Eukaryota; Metazoa; Chordata; Actinopteri; Salmoniformes; Salmonidae.